This 253-nucleotide ribosomal RNA is filed under the name uncultured bacterium. RNAcentral describes it as "partial 16S ribosomal RNA". It matches the Rfam family "Bacterial small subunit ribosomal RNA", at positions 524 to 776 of the family's 1533-position model. The record is from RNAcentral.
UACGUAGGGUGCAAGCGUUGUCCGGAAUUAUUGGGCGUAAAGAGCUCGUAGGCGGUCUGUCGCGUCGGCUGUGAAAACCCGGAGCUCAACUCCGGGCCUGCAGUCGAUACGGGCAGACUGGAGUUCGGCAGGGGAGACUGGAAUUCCUGGUGUAGCGGUGAAAUGCGCAGAUAUCAGGAAGAACACCCGUGGCGAAGGCGGCUUUCUGGGACGGUACUGACGCUGAGACGCGAAAGCGUGGGGAGCGAACAGG